This 85-nucleotide transfer RNA is filed under the name Felis catus (domestic cat). It matches the Rfam family "tRNA". Rfam says of the family: Transfer RNA (tRNA) molecules are approximately 80 nucleotides in length. Lineage: Eukaryota; Metazoa; Chordata; Mammalia; Carnivora; Felidae. The record is from Rfam by way of RNAcentral.
ACCUGGGUGGCUCAGUCGGUUGAGCGUCUGACUUCGGCUCAGGUCAUGAUCUCACGGUCUGUGGGUUCAAGCCCCGCAUCGGGCU